UACGGGAGGCAGCAGUGGGGAAUAUUGCACAAUGGGCGCAAGCCUGAUGCAGCCAUGCCGCGUGUAUGAAGAAGGCCUUCGGGUUGUAAAGUACUUUCUAGUCGUGAGGAAGGUGGUUAAGGUUAAUAACCUUAGCAAUUGACGUUAGCGACAGAAGAAGCACCGGCUAACUCCGUGCCAGCAGCCGCGGUAAUACGGAGGGUGCGAGCGUUAAUCGGAAUUACUGGGCGUAAAGGGCACGCAGGCGGUUAAUUAAGUUGGAUGUGAAAUCCCCGGGCUUAACCUGGGAAUGGCAUUCAAGACUGGUUAGCUAGAGUCUUGUAGAGGGGGUAGAAUUCCAUGUGUAGCGGUGAAAUGCGUAGAGAUGUGGAGGAAUACCGGUGGCGAAGGCGGCCCCUGGACAAAGACUGACGCUCAUGUGCG
RNAcentral lists this ribosomal RNA (423 nucleotides) under uncultured bacterium. Its description in RNAcentral is "bacterial SSU rRNA". It matches the Rfam family "Bacterial small subunit ribosomal RNA", at positions 340 to 755 of the family's 1533-position model. The record is from RNAcentral.